This 92-nucleotide ribosomal RNA is filed under the name Paenibacillus sp. OAS669. The record is from RNAcentral. Lineage: Bacteria; Bacillati; Bacillota; Bacilli; Caryophanales; Paenibacillaceae.
CACGCGUACCCAUACCGAACACGAACGUUAAGCCUUCCAGCGUCGAUGGUACUUGGACCGAAGGGUCCUGGGAGAGUAGAACGUCGCCAAGC